RNAcentral lists this transfer RNA (93 nucleotides) under Methylogaea oryzae. RNAcentral describes it as "tRNA-Lys". Lineage: Bacteria; Pseudomonadati; Pseudomonadota; Gammaproteobacteria; Methylococcales; Methylococcaceae. The record is from RNAcentral.
CGGUGGCGUUGGCGUGGCUGUUGGCGCGCCGCGCUUUUCCCGGCAAGGCCUUGCUGGAGGCCUUGCUGCACCUGCCGCUGGUGCUGCCACCGG